ACAACCCAUUGGAACCAGACUGCAGAUCAUGUUGAUGAGUGGAUCUGCUCCAAGACGACUUGUGUUUGCAACAGCGUCCUGUUAUCAGGCGCACGGUACUGUUUAGCGCCGGCAGAGCUCAACAUCAGCCGUGGAGAGAGAAUGACCAGCGUGCACCGCUGCACCGUCAAUGAGGACAUCACCUUUGGGCAGCAGAAGGCGGAAGAGAGACCGUGCUCGGGGGGGAAAAGGACCAGCGUGGUCACGAGGCUCUGAGUGCGAUCGCUUCACCAGAGCACAAUUUAAAAUACUGCUCUUACCACAAGUGACAGUAUUCGUGCCUUGAGGUGAACAGGAGGAGUAGACGGGGGUCCAGUCCAUGUGACAAUAACAACUUCAUCCAAACCACAGCAGGGCGUUACAUCCAUGAACCUUAAACAGGCCGGUGGCUGCUGCUGCUGCUGCUGCUGCUGCAUUGACCGGAGCAGCCGCCCGCUGUGCAAGCUUCAGGGCCGACAGGAGAAACGUCCCCAACGCUCCGGGCCUGGAAGUGCCUCGGUGAAUUCCCCUGCAAUGUUGCCCGAGGUUGGAAAUCGCACACAGGCAUCCGCACACGUCCGCACACCCUGAGCGGCGAGAGGCCCAGAUCCACUGUGACUACUUCCCCUUCCCCCCUUUCCCCUCAUCCCCCGAGGAAAAACAAAACGCACGGCCAUGUUCAUUUGUUUUUCUAUUUUUCUCAUCGCUCUCCCACAUUUCUCUUCGUUUCUAAAGAGUUGCAGCCUCCGGCUCCCACGCUGUCCCUCCCUCUCCUCCUCUCCCUCUCCCUCCUCUCCCUCUCCCUGGUGGGGAUGGAGGCUGAUGGGAGCUGACGUGAUGGCGCCAUUGUCUUCGCCGUCGAGUUAAUGUGACCCCGGGGGGCGCCGUGCCUGUAUGCUUGGCCCGAUGUUGCAGAGCGUAAAGCGCGGGGUUGUGGAGGAAGGGAGGGAGGGAGGGUGGGAGAGGGGUGAGAAAGAAACAAGGAGGAAACAGCUGUGCGUGGAGGUAGACUGAGAAAUGCAGAAUAGUGGGACAGGAGCAAACUGCACACAGGCAUCGAUGGGGCCUGGGAAGGACCUUAUGAAUGAUCGGGUAUUGGUAGAUGAGUUAUGAUGACCUUAAAUGUGUGUGAUGUGUAGAUUGCACUGAGAAAUGUGAAAGUAGUCUCAAAUAAACACUAACUUGGAUUUAGGCAUCAUACUUAAAUACUUGUGUAAUUACCAUUUACUUUGCUCUAACUUUUUCACUUUAAAUCCUUAGGCUCCAUUCAUGCUUAUUAAAGUAAAGAUAAAGAUUUGGUCUUCAUAUCGGAAACCGACAAAAGCAAGAUGAACUCACAAUUUUGCCAAAAAUAAUAAAACUGGAGAUAUGAAACUUCUCAACCAAACGCGUCUCAAGAUUGUGCCAAAACGCAAAUUAUCCCAGUAUUCAUAAUAAGGUUACUUUGACUUUUUUCUGAUACAUUUCAGCUCUAAUUAGCUUUCUAAUGUUUGGUUCCCUGUUGCUACGUGCAGGCGCAAACAAUUCGACCGUUUGGAAAACAUGCUCAUUGGCAUUCAUGCAUUUAGAGUCAGACGAGAAGAUUGACACCACUUUCAGGUGUGAGGACUUAAAAGGUCAGAGUCCGUGACGUGACGCCGUCCCCGAGACUUGCGUCGGGAAAGAGACGUCCGUAACUUAAUUAACUGUCGGCAGUUGGCACUACCAACCCUUAAAUCAAGGUUCAAACGCUGUUUAAAUAAGUUAUUAUCUUCUUUCGUUUCUGUGAAUGAGCCUAAGAACGACUCUGGGCCCAACGGAGUAGUGCAGAAGCAAUGCGAUGGCCCUGAGGAUGGGAAGGGUUAUUUUAUUCAAACUACUCCUUCUGCCGUGCUGAUGACCCAGCGUACACAAUUUCACCUGGGUUCACCAAGAGAACACAAAGGCUUUCUGAAAGGGAUCCGGCAUGUGAGACCUAUUCAGAGACCGAAUUGAGCCCGCCUGCUCUGAGAUCAGGUGCAUGAGACUUGUUCUGGUUUCCCAUGCUGGUCCUGUGAGGCCUGCAACCGUGUUAAAGCCAGAAAAACCUUUGCGGCUGUGUGACAAACGGGAGCCUGAGAGUGACAGGCGUCCUUUCAGCCCUGUCUGUAUAUACUUUAUAUGAUCAAUGUAAAAUACCCUUUACAGGAGUAAAGCUGGAGUACAACAGUGACCUUUACCUAAAAGACUGGUGGGUUUUGCUACGCUGAUUUUCUCCUGAAUCUUAUCGAAAAAACAGUCCUUUUCAUCUUCAUCUAAAUCUGAACGUGUUUAAUAUUCCAACUGUCCCAAACCCUGGCAUUUAGCUAACACCAAAGCUCCUGGUUAGUAUGUUGUUAGUAUGUAACCGUGUGCAGCGGGCCGCUCCCCCACGCCUGGCGCUCAGACGGUCACCUCAGUCGAGCUGUGGGUGGAGUAGCUCUUCUGCCUGUUGUGGUGGUAGUAGGAAGGUUGGGAUGGCUGCCCCCCCUGCACGUGCUGCCCUCCCAGUAUGUGCUGCCCCCCCUGUAUGUGCUGCCCCUGGACGUGCUGCUGCCCCAGUAUGGGCUGCUGCCCCGGCCCCGCGCCCCCUCCACCUGCUCCAUACAUCCCUCCGUAGGGCUGGCCAAAGAGGUCCUGCAUGUUCUCUAUACUCCGCUGCCUCCGGGUGGAGUAGCCGUGCCUCCGGCCGGAGCUUUGCGCGGUGGAGGUGGCGUGUGCCGGGGCGGAGGCCUGUCUCUGGACGUGGCGCCCGGUCGACUCCCAGGCUUUGAAGGCCGAGCCGGAGAGCAGCGGGUGAGUGGUGGUUUUGGGCAGGCGCGACUGCUCCGGGUGGUCGGAGGGGAUGGAGAUGGAGAGGGGGGCGUGGAGGUCGUGGUGCGCCGACACGGGCUGGUGGAUGUAGGAUUUCUCUUUGUGCUGCACGGGCACGGGCUGGAAGCUGGGAGGGGCCACAGGCUGGUCCUGGGAGAAGUCCAUGAGCGGGAAGCUCUUGUAGUAGGUACGAGACGCGCUGUGCGCUGCAACGGAGGAGAGGAGGCGAGAAAAAGUGUCAUUCAUCAGUCAGCCGAACUAAACAUUAGACUCAUUUGCGUGUGAAUUAUUAAACUGUCACUGACGUGUUGGAAACAACAGUUUACAGAACUCUGGUAGAAACCAAAGAUAGAAAGUAUCGAGCGCUCCGAUUAAAAGGCUGAGUCCUCGGUGGGAUUUUAUUUGUGUAUCUUGGGCGGUUGCCCCCCCACCAAACAUCCCCCCAAAGUAAUCUUCUUACCAUGCUCUGUUCUUAACAUUUAACAAUUAGGCCAUUUCAGCAAACACAUGCUAUAUUUGUUUAAUGUGUUUAUAUUUAAGAGUCACUUUCGAUUUGUCUCAGACGGAUGCGGUUCUGAGUCACGUGCAGAAGUAGACUUCAGUGAACUUUCAGUGUGUAAACACAGAGCGUGUCAUUGCAGAAUCCCACAAGUAAUCCAUGAUGCAUUUUUAUUUAGGCCUCCAGGCUCCGACCCGUCAGCUCUUAAAGGGACACCAUAGAACUUCUCACAUAUCAAACCUGCUCUCACCUUAAUGCAUUCAUGGGUUUUGCCCCUUUAAGCCUCACUUGCUCUGUUAUGACCAGUAGCUUGUGGUGGCUAAUGUUAGCUUAUGCACAAUAUGAUCGUUUAUCAAGUAAUAAUUAAAAAGUGUAAAGGCAGUGGGUCCAGCAGGAAGGGGCAGCGAGAGUUUUCAGAACCACAGACGAGAGGGAACAUUUUCUUCCUGCACUUUUGGCGUCCAGAAAAGGUGAAAUUUAUCAAAGUACUUUGAAUGAGUUGGAAGAUCCAACUCAGAGAGAAUCAGAGGACAGCGAGGAAGAGAGGGGCGGUUUGAACAAUUUAAGAACGUCCGAUUGGUCUUUGACCUUGGGGGGGUGGGGGGGAGUAGCGGUGUUCCUUUCUUGCUGCCGAGGGCCGGGAGAGCGACCAGGGGGGAGAAACUGAGGAGUGCACCGGGGAAGAUGGAGGUAAAGGUAUGCAGGGACAUUGCAAUGAAGGUUUAUUAAUAACCUCGCCGCAAGUCCAGACUGGGCACGCGUGUAUGCAAGUGUGUGUCAUGGGCUGGCAUAGAUGUCAGAGGGAAUCAUUUAAAUAAGCCAUAAACUGAGGUCAUCGCCGCCAGCUUGCCGGCGACGUGAACAGUGACCUUGUCUCUGUGGGUUUUAUCAUUUUUGUCCGAAUGUCGGACUCCUCAAAGAACAGCUGUUUAUUCAAAUGCAACUAUUGGUUUUACAGCUGAAAAAUAAAAAAAAAUUGAAGAAAGAUCUUUUGAAGUUGUAUAAUAUCUAAAAGUCCUGUUUACAGGCUAUUUUGUCCAAAGCAGUCGCCUUUGUCCAUUGAUGCCUUUUUUAAUGAUGGUGAUACUCUUCAACCACUUCUGAAUAUUUAUUCUAAAGCAUACAGCCGUCAAUUGUAUUUGAACUCCCUUAAAGUGAAUUUGUGUUUUAUAAUGACUUAACUGGAUGCAUUAAAUGCCACCGUGAGAUCACAUUUAGAGCCAGUUAAGGCUGACAUCAAUUACCUGGCGUAGGUCUGGAGCCUUUGCUCUGUCUCUGCUGAGAAAAGAGUGUUUUGCUCUUGAGCUCAGUCAACCUUCCACGGUUAAUAAAGGUUAAACAAUCAACCUUGACCAGUAAGUGAUUUGCCUUUGGCUCAUUUGAAGGUUUUGGUCUUUACGCCGUUACACCCUCUACUGUUCAAGGACCACAGCACACGUAUGUGUGACCUUUGCUGACACGUACACACCGUUUGCAUAACAACCUGGUUAAAACCCUGCAGACUCUUCUCUGGUGCUCUUACAAAAUGACAUCUUGAGGCAUUAAGAGACGACCAAAAGUUCCCCCGAAAAAAGGUAAAUAUAUUAUAUUGAGUAAAGAUGUGCCUAAAGACAUUUGUGUCCAUUUGUGAGACAUUUGUGUCCAUUUGUGAGACUGUAAGGUGUCUUUUUAAUCGCGUGCUGUGCCACUAGUUUUUUCAACAGUGUUUGAUGUAGUUGCAUCUGUGUUGGAGAUUGUCACCAAAUAGAGCCCCCCCCCCCCCCCAAGCGUGUUGAGAACUACGUUGGCCUUCGGGUAUCGUCUGCUCUUGUUUUCAGAACCGCAACAAUUAUUAUGUUUCAUUUACGUUACGUGUCAUUUAGCUGGCGCUUUUAUUCAGACCCAGAAUAACAAGUAACAAAGUGUAACAAAUUUCUACAAGUGUAAAGUGCUAUCGUGCUGUCUUGAAUGCUGAUAAAGUGUUUUUGGUUUGCGUCGGUAGCCGCGUAGACGUUGGGCGGUCUUGUUGUCACUGGGGGGGCUCAUUCAGUGGGGAUGUUGUUGCGUGUUUAGGCAGAUUAAUGCAGCGCGAAGUGAGCGGACAGGGACGUACGGUUUGUAGACUGGACCUCAUCUGUUUGCAGCACAGUACAAAUACCAGUGCUUUGAAAAGAAUGAGGAAGCCACUGGUAACCAGUGCACCAUAUAUAAGGUCAUUUCUCUUAUAUCUCUGCGUGUGCCCACACAGCGACACAUUGUGGCUGGAGACAAGUUUCAAUUUGGUUUCACAUUCAUUUACAUGCCAGUGCUUGUAAAUUGCACAUGCAGUACCAAGCGUAGUGUCCUCCAAAGCGAGCAUCCUAGCCCCUGUGUGUGUGUGUGUGUGUCUGCGUGUGUGCAGUGAGAGAGCAGCGUUUCAGGUGACCGCACGCUGACUUACAGGUAGUUUGGAAUAUUGUCAUGAGCCGCACUACUCCGGCUCUGAUGCAGAGCUUGCAGGAAUCAAUGAAUUAACCACGUUGUGGGAAGUUUACACAUUGGGAGUGAUUUUUGUUUUUCGUUCCCCAAAACAUUCAUGAAAGCAGCAUUAGAACAAUUCCACCAAUGAAAACGUAUUCUAACUUGUUUGUGUGCAAGUUGAAGUGAAAAAUGGUGAAUAGCAUUAAUGUUAGAAAUAGAGACACGCUGUAAAAACAAGCUUUAAAUGUCUUUGUUUGGUGUACACAUUGUUUUCGGUUCUCGUGGCUGGACUUCAGGCCUCCAUUCAUGGAUUAAUCACACACACAGACGGUUGCUCAUGUGCGAGCGAUCACACCACCGACUGGAACAGCGCGGGUUUCGUGAUCAGAGCCGACACUCGCCAGGUGACGCCUCCCGCCCUGCGGCCUACGGCACCGCAAAGGUUACUGUGCCUGUUGGCGUCAGCGUCAUGGCUGCGUGUGUGACUUACCCACGGCUUUGAGGGAGGUGUACUUGUUCAGUCCCGCCGUGCUGUGGUUCCUGUGUGGGUGGGGGAGCCCUUGUCCAAACGGCCCGUAAGCCGAGUUACUCAUCUGGUACUGUUCUGGUAGGAGAAAGGGAGACACAGGCAUUGUGAGUUGUUGUUCUUUUUGGAAUACUACAGAAGUCCAGAGUGCGUCGUGUUUCUUU
Long non-coding RNA from Gasterosteus aculeatus aculeatus (three-spined stickleback), 6457 nucleotides. The record is from Ensembl. Lineage: Eukaryota; Metazoa; Chordata; Actinopteri; Perciformes; Gasterosteidae.